GAUUUGAUUUAGGCUGUAUAUCUAGUUUGCUGAUUUGUAUAUUAUUGGAGGGAAUGAGUAAGCUAGAAGAUGUAUACUAAAUUAAAUGACAGAGUUUCUUUCCUUCUCUUAAUUUCUUUUAAAAGAUUUGGCGGUUUAAAGUAUAAAUUAUGGCACUGUUUUGGUGGUUUAAAAUGUGUCCACCAAUUCUUUGAUUCUCCUCCCUUUAAGAGGCCUGUUCCAUACUUAGUGACUUGCUUCUAACAAAUGGAAUGUGGCAGAAGUGACAAUAUGUGGCCUUCAAGAUUAAAACAUAAAAGGUAUUGUGGCUCUUAUUCUUUUCAGUUUUGGUGCUCCUCCCUGCUCUCUGCAGGGGGGAGUCUUUGAGAUUUGACAGAUGGGAAAUUAGAAGACAGGGGAGUAAUUGAGGCUCCUAGGAACUUGAGCUGUGGUUUCAGUUUCAGGAACCCUGGAAAGGAGAAGUAAUCCAAUAAGAGGAAGAAGAAAUAGAGUAGAAUAAAUAGAACAGUUGAAUCUCAUUUAUAUUUGCACCCAUAUUUCUGGCCUUCAGUCCAGCCUUGUGAAAAUUGAGAAUAUGUUGAUCAACAAGAUGAAACAUCAGCAGUUUCCAGACAAAGGUUAUGAGCUUUCUUCAUCUCAUUACUUUCACCUGUUGACAGAGCCUAGCUGGAUGUCUUGGCCUCAGACAUUAGUAUGGUAACACAAAUGAUUGAAAAUUAAAAGUUUAUUGUCUGAUGAAAACCACUAACAAAAAGGUAUCUGGUAACCUCUUACCCUCAUAUAUUUGGAAAAGAA
This 795-nucleotide long non-coding RNA is filed under the name Marmota monax (woodchuck). Lineage: Eukaryota; Metazoa; Chordata; Mammalia; Rodentia; Sciuridae. The record is from RNAcentral.